GCAUUAAUGGGGUAGUGGUAACCUGGGUCGUUGCCACAAAUGAGUCUCAUAAGUUUGUCUCGACCCGCCGGGGGUUCGAUUCCCCCUUAAUGCA
Molecule: non-coding RNA, 94 nt
Organism: Collybiopsis luxurians FD-317 M1
Lineage: Eukaryota; Fungi; Basidiomycota; Agaricomycetes; Agaricales; Omphalotaceae
Source: the annotation of a GenBank genome assembly